RNAcentral lists this non-coding RNA (30 nucleotides) under Mus musculus (house mouse). The record is from RNAcentral. Lineage: Eukaryota; Metazoa; Chordata; Mammalia; Rodentia; Muridae.
UCCUUUGUAGGUUUUCCAAUGCCUCGCCCU